This is a long non-coding RNA of Gasterosteus aculeatus aculeatus (three-spined stickleback), 1484 nucleotides long. The record is from Ensembl. Lineage: Eukaryota; Metazoa; Chordata; Actinopteri; Perciformes; Gasterosteidae.
GCCUCCUUCUUCAUCGAAGACCGCCGAGGAGAGAAGCUGGGCUUCAAAGUCACCAUACUGCUGGCCAUCUCCGUCCUGCUGCUCAUCCUCAAUGACAUCCUGCCCUCCAUGUCCAACAAGACUCCCCUCAUAGCCACCUACUGCGUCGUGAUUUUCGCUCUGAUGCUGCUCAGCCUGCUGGAGACCAUCUUGGUUACAUAUUUCAUGGAGAAAGACUGUGCCUCCAAGAAGAAGAUCAGGCUGAGGGAAAACAGGGAGAACAAGCAGGACACCUUCAUCACAGAGGAGAAAAGACAAAGCGGCUGUCUGAGCAUCUGCAAAGCGUCAGAUGGUGAGAAACAACAUGAAUUGCUGCCGAUGGUUCAAGAGGUAAAGACAAUGUCGGUUCCAAUGAAACAUCAUUAUCACAAGACAGGUGGUCAAAACUGGGUUUUAGACCAAAAUGUAUUGUCUCAUCAGGUUAAAUGUAGAUUCCAGGUCAUUAAAAUUGGGUUAGAUUUUGAACUUCAUAAAUUGCUCUGAAGUCGGAGAAACUACUUUUCCCACGAUUCCUUUUGCUUUUAGUGAAAUUAAAUGCUUUGCUUUAAAAGAGACCCCAAAUGCUUUGAUUUAGAUUUCAUCCACAAAAUAAUCCACAUUUAUGAAUUACAUGUAUAUUUCUAUUUGUACAUUUACAUCAUGACCUAAGGGCAUUAAUCUCAUUAAACCAUCCAAAGUAUUAAUGAGGUGGCAGACAGUAAAGAAGGCGGUUGUGUCCACCUGGCUUGAGACAUGAAUGCAUUCAUAAUCCCAGUCAUGACUCCUGAUGUUUGCAGGUUAACAACAGCGUUCAGGCCCGAGAGAGUGACACGUUGCUGCUGAUCAUGGAGGAGCUGAAGGAGUUGCAGAAUAUUUUGAAUCUGCACCUCGUCUGUAGACAGGACGGAGGGAAGUCUGGCCUCUUGGCCGCAAGAAUCAACAGAGCUUUCUUCAUUUUCUACAUCACCAUCGUGUCACUGUUCCUCACCCUCAUCUUCAUCGCAUGGACCACUUAAACCUUUUUAACCAUGUUAAACCUUUAAGUCAACACAUGCCGUAUGAAUUUGAUGUAGAAUCUAGAAGUUGUGCCAUGUUUGGUAUCUACAAUGUCUCAUUGUGAAUCUAUUUAAUUCAGUUUAAAUGAGAUAACUUGAAUUGUAUUUACUCUAUCCUGCAGACUGGUGGCGCCAAAAUCUUUAGUGUUGAUGAAGAAAAGGUCCCUGCAGAGCUGUCUAGGGCAUUGCCUUUUAAUAAGAGUGUAUAAAAUGUGUGGGGAAUAAAUCACAAAAUAAUAAUAAUGUUUGAGUUUUGAAAAAGGCAAAAAGCAAAACAAUGACCGUUUUAAACAUAUUUGUGUGCUGAAAUAAAUAUAUCAAAACCUUGUGUUGUGUUUUUAAAUGGUUAAAGACGCUCAGCAUCCACCGGAGGGUUUAAAAUUAGCAUUUAAAUAGUUUUCAGAAGCUGAU